Molecule: unclassified non-coding RNA, 240 nt
Filed under: soil metagenome
Description: partial contains 5.8S ribosomal RNA, internal transcribed spacer 2, and large subunit ribosomal RNA
Source: RNAcentral
AACUGAUACUACCUGCGGGAACCUGCGGAGGGAUCAUUAAUGAGAAACUGCCCCUCGCGGGUAGAUCUCCCACCCUUUGUAAACUUACCUUUGUUGCUUUGGCAGGCCCGUCUCCGGACCGCCGGCUUCGGCUGGCCAGUGCCUGCCAGAGGAUUCUAAAACUCUGUCUGUCAGUGUUGUCUGAGUCUAUAUACAAUCGUUAAAACUUUCAGCAACGGAUCUCUAGAUCGGAAGAGCACA